AGAGUUUGAUCAUGGCUCAGAUUGAACGCUGGCGGCAUGCCUUACACAUGCAAGUCGAACGGCAGCACGGGUGCUUGCACCUGGUGGCGAGUGGCGAACGGGUGAGUAAUACAUCGGAACAUGUCCAGUAGUGGGGAUGAGCCCGGCGAAAGCCGGAUUAAUACCGCAUACGAUCUAGGGAUGAAAGCGGGGGAUCUUCG
RNAcentral lists this ribosomal RNA (200 nucleotides) under uncultured bacterium. Its description in RNAcentral is "partial 16S ribosomal RNA". It matches the Rfam family "Bacterial small subunit ribosomal RNA", at positions 8 to 215 of the family's 1533-position model. The record is from RNAcentral.